UAUGCCCAGACAUAAACCCAGGCAGCAACCUAACCCACACUGCCCGCCAGAGAACUACACGCACCCUAGCGUAAAACUCAAAGGACUUGACGGUGUCUCAUAUCGCCCUAGAGGAGCCUGUCCUAUAAUCGAUAAUCCACGCUAUACCUUACCCCCCCAUUGCAAAAACUUUCCAGCCUAUAUACCGCCGUCACCAGCUCACCUUUUGAAAGCCAAAUAGUGUGCAAAACAAUCCACCACUAAAACGUCAGGUCAAGGUGUAGCUAAUUGGGGGGCAGCGAUGGGCUACAUUUUCUAUUAAUAGAAGCCCCCAGCAGCAUGAAACAAUGCCAUAAGACGGAUUUAGCAGUAAACAGAGCAAGAAUCGCCCAAUUGAAGCUCGCCCUGAGACGCGUACACACCGCCCGUCACCCUCCUCAACAAACCAAAAUAUAAAGCUAACUAAGCCGCCCUUUACCCCAACCUUAGAUGAGGUAAGUCGUAACAUGGUAAGUGUACUGGAAAGUGCACUUGGCAAAAC
Molecule: ribosomal RNA, 520 nt
Filed under: Gekko yakuensis
Lineage: Eukaryota; Metazoa; Chordata; Lepidosauria; Squamata; Gekkonidae
Description: partial 12S ribosomal RNA
Rfam family: Bacterial small subunit ribosomal RNA
Source: RNAcentral